AUUCUGUCCGCGUGGAUUCUGUCGCUGUUCUUCCGCAUCAAAGCAAAUUCCAUGAUGUGCAGUGCAAUCCUUUCAAGCGCAAGGUCUUCGAAUUUGGACUUCUUUGGCAAGGACUAGAAAAUGGAAGGCAAUGAAGGGAAGAAAUUAUCGACAGCUUAAGGAUGGAAAGAAAGAUGCAAGGAGGUAGUGUGAUAUGGAACAAUUAAACGUAAGAAAUUUCUGGCUCUAGUAAUUCCGCACA
Molecule: long non-coding RNA, 241 nt
Organism: Pantherophis guttatus
Lineage: Eukaryota; Metazoa; Chordata; Lepidosauria; Squamata; Colubridae
Source: RefSeq, a predicted model, not a curated record